RNAcentral lists this ribosomal RNA (359 nucleotides) under uncultured bacterium. Its description in RNAcentral is "bacterial SSU rRNA". It matches the Rfam family "Bacterial small subunit ribosomal RNA", at positions 8 to 353 of the family's 1533-position model. The record is from RNAcentral.
AGAGUUUGAUCAUGGCUCAGGAUGAACGCUAGCUACAGGCUUAACACAUGCAAGUCGGAGGGGAAACGAUAUUGGAAGUCUUGCUUCCGAUAGGCGUCGACCGGCGCACGGGUGAGUAACGCGUAUCCAACCUGCCCACCACGUUGGGGAUAACCUUGCGAAAGUAAGACUAAUACCCAAUAAUAUCUCUAGAAGACAUCUGAAAGAGAUUAAAGAUUUAUCGGUGAUGGAUGGGGAUGCGUCUGAUUAGCUUGUUGGCGGGGUAACGGCCCACCAAGGCGACGAUCAGUAGGGGUUCUGAGAGGAAGGUCCCCCACAUUGGAACUGAGACACGGUCCAAACUCCUACGGGAGGCAGCA